ACUGUGGAUAGGAGUGAAAGGCUAAACAAGUCCGGAGAUAGCUGGUUCUCCCCGAAAGCUAUUGAGGUAGCGCGUCUAGUAUUACUGCCGGGGGUAGAGCACUGUUACGGCUAGGGGGCUGUCACGGCUUACCAACCCGUUGCAAACUCCGAAUACCGGCAAGUACGAGCUAGGCAGACAGACGGCGGGUGCUAACGUCCGUCGUCAAGAGGGAUGAAAACCCAGACCGCCAGCUAAGGUCCCCAAAUAUGGCUCAGUGGGAAACGAUGUGGGAAGGCAAAGACAGCUAGGAGGUUGGCUUAGAAGCAGCCAUCCUUUAAAGAAAGCGUAAUAGCUCACUAGUCGAGUCGGCCUGCGCGGAAGAUUUAACGGGGCUCAAGCCAUAUACCGAAGCUGCGGGUGUGUUCUAUGAACACGCGGUAGGGGAGCGUUCGGUAAGCCAGUGAAGGUGUGUCGGAAGGCAUGCUGGAGGUAUCCGAAGUGCGAAUGCUGACAUGAGUAGCGAUAAAGGGUGUGAAAACCACCCUCGCCGUAAGCCCAAGGGUUCCUGCGUCAAGUCAAUCUGCGCAGGGUGAGUCGGCCCCUAAGGCGAGGCCGAGAGGCGUAGCUGAUGGGAAAUCGGUUAAUAUUCCGAUACUGUUGUAAGAUGCGAUGGAGUGACGGAGAAAGGUAGCUCAGCCGGGUGUUGGACGUCCUGGUUUAAGCGUGUAGGGAGUCUUCUUAGGCAAAUCCGGGAAGGCAAUCUCAAGGCGUGAUGACGAUCCUCUACGGAGGAGAAGUGAGUGAACCUACGCUUCCAGGAAAAGCUUCUAAGCUCUAGUCUUACGAUGACCGUACCCCAAACCGACACAGGUGGGCAGGAAGAAUAUUCCAAGGCGCUUGAGAGACCUCGGGUGAAGGAACUCGGCAAAUUGACACCGUAACUUCGGAAGAAGGUGUGCCCUUUUAGGUUGUACUCCCUUGCGGAGGAAGGCCGAAGGGGUCGCAGAGAAUCGGUGGCUGCAACUGUUUAACAAAAACACAGGGCUCUGCAAAGACGAAAGUCGACGUAUAGGGUCUGACGCCUGCCCGGUGCCGGAAGGUUAAGUGAGGGGGUGCAAGCUCUUGAUCGAAGCCCCGGUAAACGGCGGCCGUAACUAUAACGGUCCUAAGGUAGCGAAAUUCCUUGUCGGGUAAGUUCCGACCUGCACGAAUGGCGUAAUGAUGGCCACACUGUCUCCACCCGAGACUCAGCGAAGUUGAAGUCGCUGUGAAGAUACAGCGUUCCCGUGGCAAGACGGAAAGACCCCGUGCACCUUUACUAUAACUUAGCAUGGGACCUUGAGAUGAUUUGUGUAGGAUAGGUGGGAGGCUGUGAAACUGGGACGCUAGUUCUGGUGGAGCCGUCCUUGAAAUACCACCCUGGUGAUCUUGGGGUUCUAACCUCGAUCCGUUAUCCGGAUCAGGGACAGUGUUAGGCGGGUAGUUUGACUGGGGCGGUCUCCUCCCAAAGAGUAACGGAGGAGCACGAAGGUACCCUCAGCGCGGUCGGAAAUCGCGCAGUGAGUGCAAAGGCACAAGGGUGCUUGACUGCGAGACUGACAAGUCGAGCAGGUGCGAAAGCAGGCCUUAGUGAUCCGGUGGUUCUGUAUGGAAGGGCCAUCGCUCAACGGAUAAAAGGUACGCCGGGGAUAACAGGCUGAUCUCCCCCAAGAGUCCACAUCGACGGGGAGGUUUGGCACCUCGAUGUCGGCUCAUCGCAUCCUGGGGCUGGAGAAGGUCCCAAGGGUCGGGCUGUGCGCCCGUUAAAGCGGUACAUGAGCUGGGUUUAGAACGUCGUGAGAAAGUUCGGUCGGUAUCCGCCGUGGGCGUUGGAGAUUUGAGAGGAGCCGCUC
This 1874-nucleotide ribosomal RNA is filed under the name soil metagenome. RNAcentral's name for it is "bacterial LSU rRNA". It matches the Rfam family "Bacterial large subunit ribosomal RNA", at positions 808 to 2677 of the family's 2925-position model. The record is from RNAcentral.